AUUGAACGCUGGCGGCAGGCCUAACACAUGCAAGUCGAACGAGUGGCGGACGGGUGAGUAAUGUCUGGGAAACUGCCCGAUGGAGGGGGAUAACUACUGGAAACGGUAGCUAAUACCGCAUACCAUCGGAUGUGCCCAGAUGGGAUUAGCUUGUAGGUGAGGUAACGGCUCACCUAGGCGACGAUCCCUAGCUGGUCUGAGAGGAUGACCAGCCACACUGGAACUGAGACACGGUCCAGACGCCGACGGGAGGCAGCAGGAGGGAAUAUUGCACAAUGGGCGCAAGCCUGAUGCGGCCAUGCCGCGUGAAUGAAGAAGGCCGUCGGGUUGUAAAGUACUUUCAGCGGGGAGGCGUUACCCGCAGAAGAAGCACCGGCUAACUCCGUGCCAGCAGCCGCGGUAAUUC
Molecule: ribosomal RNA, 406 nt
Filed under: uncultured bacterium
Lineage: Bacteria
Description: partial 16S ribosomal RNA
Rfam family: Bacterial small subunit ribosomal RNA
Source: RNAcentral